GAUGAACGCUAGCUACAGGCUUAACACAUGCAAGUCGAGGGGUAACGAGAGGAAAGCUUGCUUUCCUUCUCGACGACCGGCGCACGGGGGAGUAACGCAUAUCCAACCUGCCCCCAACUAGGGAAUAACCUUGCGAAAGUAAGACUAAUACCCUAUAAUUUCCUCAGAUGUCAUCUGACGAGGAAUAAAGAUUUCUGGGUUUUGGAUGGGGAUGCGUGUGAUUAGAUUGCUGGUGGGGUAACGGCCCACCAAGGGAACGAUCAGUAGGGGUGCUGAGAGGAAGGUCCCCCACAUUGGAACUGAGACACGGUCCAAACUCCUACGGGAGGCAGCAGUGAGGAAUAUUGGGCAAUGGGCGGAAGCAUGAACCAGCCAAGUAGCGUGCAGGAUGACGGCCCUAUGGGUUGUAAACUGCUUUUAUACAGGAAUAAAGUUAGCCACGUGUGGUUAUUUGUAGGUACUGUAUGAAUAAGGACCGGCUAAUUCCGUGCCAGCCGCCGCAGUAA
Molecule: ribosomal RNA, 506 nt
Filed under: uncultured bacterium
Lineage: Bacteria
Description: partial 16S ribosomal RNA
Rfam family: Bacterial small subunit ribosomal RNA
Source: RNAcentral